Molecule: unclassified non-coding RNA, 261 nt
Filed under: Hevea brasiliensis (rubber tree)
Lineage: Eukaryota; Viridiplantae; Streptophyta; Magnoliopsida; Malpighiales; Euphorbiaceae
Source: RNAcentral
UUUGCUUUAGACUUCAAUACAUAAAAAUAACAUUAAUAAAAAUAGGAAGCUAAUGUAAUUAUCCACCGUGGUGCUACCAUUUAAUUCAAUAUUUAAGUCUAAAGCAAACUACUAAGAGGGGAACAAAUAACAUGAAAAAUAUUACAGAAUCAUAUUCUUGUAGAAGGGGUUGGAACAAAGCAUCAAAGCCAGCAAAUAUCAAAAAUCUUAGUGCUCUAAACUGCUCUAUAUUCUAAUAGCAGUUGGCUUUUUUUUUUUUUU